This 378-nucleotide ribosomal RNA is filed under the name uncultured bacterium. RNAcentral describes it as "partial 16S ribosomal RNA". It matches the Rfam family "Bacterial small subunit ribosomal RNA", at positions 338 to 733 of the family's 1533-position model. The record is from RNAcentral.
CCUACGGGUGGCAGCAGUAAGGGAUAUUGGUCAAUGGGGGAAACCCUGAACCAGCAACGCCGCGUGAGGGAAGACGGUUUUCGGAUUGUGAACCUCUGUCCUCUGUGAAGAUGAUGACGGUAGCAGAGGAGGAAGCUCCGGCUAACUACGUACCAGCAGCCGCGGGAAUACGUCGGGAGCGAGCGUUGUCCGGAUUUACUGGGUGUAAAGGGUGCGUAGGCGGCUUGGCAAGUCAGGAGUGAAAUGCUGGGGCUUAACCCAUGAACUGCUAGUGAAACUGUCGGGCUCGAGUGAAGUAGAGGUAGGCGGAAUUCCCGGUGUAGCGGUGAAAGGCAUAGAGAUCGGGAGGAACACCAGUGGCGAAGGCGGCAUACUGGG